AGCACGCUGACAGAAUGCUUAACACAUGCAAGUCGAUUCGAUUUACCUUCGGGUAUUGAGGAUGGCGGACGGGUGAGUAACGCGUAAGGAACUUGCCUCUUGGACUGGGACAACUGUUGGAAACGACAGCUAAUACCGGAUAUUAUGAGAUUCUCGC
This 157-nucleotide ribosomal RNA is filed under the name uncultured Cetobacterium sp. RNAcentral describes it as "partial 16S ribosomal RNA". It matches the Rfam family "Bacterial small subunit ribosomal RNA", at positions 33 to 190 of the family's 1533-position model. Lineage: Bacteria; Fusobacteriati; Fusobacteriota; Fusobacteriia; Fusobacteriales; Fusobacteriaceae. The record is from RNAcentral.